RNAcentral lists this unclassified non-coding RNA (3410 nucleotides) under Hevea brasiliensis (rubber tree). The record is from RNAcentral. Lineage: Eukaryota; Viridiplantae; Streptophyta; Magnoliopsida; Malpighiales; Euphorbiaceae.
UAAGUCCUUUGGAUGUUAUGCAGAUGUUGGGUCGUGCGGGAAGGCCUCAGUAUGAUUCAUAUGGGGAAGGAAUUAUCAUCACUGGCCACAGUGAACUUCAGUACUAUUUAUCUUUAAUGAAUCAACAGCUUCCUAUUGAAAGUCAGUUUGUAUCCAAACUGGCUGAUCAAUUGAAUGCAGAAAUUGUUCUUGGAACUGUGCAAAAUGCUAGAGAAGCCUGCAAUUGGCUUGGCUAUACUUACUUGUAUGUCCGUAUGCUACGAAAUCCAACGCUGUAUGGCUUAGCACCAGAUGUUCUCACCAGAGAUAUUACAUUGGAGGAGAGGAGGGCUGAUUUGAUUCAUUCUGCUGCAACUAUCUUGGACAAAAAUAAUCUGGUCAAGUAUGACAGGAAAAGUGGAUAUUUCCAGGUCACUGACUUGGGUCGCAUUGCUAGUUAUUACUAUAUAACUCAUGGGACAAUAUCCACGUAUAAUGAGCAUCUGAAGCCAACAAUGGGGGACAUAGAACUAUGCCGUCUUUUCUCCUUGAGUGAAGAAUUUAAAUAUGUAACAGUAAGACAAGAUGAGAAGAUGGAACUGGCAAAGCUUUUAGACCGUGUUCCAAUUCCAAUCAAGGAAAGUCUGGAAGAGCCUAGUGCUAAGAUUAAUGUGUUACUUCAAGCCUAUAUUUCACAACUUAAGCUUGAAGGGCUUUCCCUCACAUCUGACAUGGUGUUCAUAACUCAGAGUGCUGGCCGUCUUCUACGAGCUCUUUUUGAGAUUGUCUUGAAAAGAGGAUGGGCACAGUUAGCUGAGAAGGCUCUGAAUUUGUGUAAAAUGGUCAACAAGAGGAUGUGGAGCGUCCAGACACCCCUGCGCCAAUUCAUUGGGAUCCCAAAUGAAAUUCUGAUGAAGUUGGAGAAGAAAGAUUUGGCUUGGGAAAGGUAUUAUGACCUUUCAUCACAGGAAAUUGGUGAGCUCGUUCGUUUCCCAAAGAUGGGAAGAACAUUGCAUAAGUUCAUCCACCAAUUCCCAAAGCUUAACCUGGCAGCACAUGUUCAGCCAAUCACUCGUACUGUGUUGAGGUUUGAACUUACUAUAACACCAGACUUUCAAUGGGAAGACAAGGUUCAUGGAUAUGUGGAACCAUUUUGGGUCAUUGUGGAGGAUAAUGAUGGUGAAAGCGUUCUCCAUCAUGAGUACUUUAUGUUGAAGAAGCAGUACAUUGAUGAGGACCACACAUUGAACUUCACAGUGCCAAUUUAUGAGCCAUUGCCUCCACAGUAUUUCAUCCGUGUUGUGUCAGAUAAAUGGCUCGGGUCACAAACUGUUUUACCUGUCUCUUUUAGGCACCUUAUUUUACCAGAAAAGUAUCCUCCACCCACAGAGUUAUUGGAUUUGCAACCUCUGCCCGUGACUGCAUUGAGGAAUCCAUCAUAUGAAGCUCUUUAUCAAGAUUUUAAACAUUUUAAUCCUGUCCAAACUCAGGUCUUUACUGUUCUGUAUAAUACAGAUGACAAUGUAUUGGUUGCUGCACCAACAGGGAGUGGGAAAACCAUCUGUGCUGAGUUUGCUAUAUUGAGGAAUUAUCAAAAGGGAUCUGAUAGCAUAAUGCGUGCUGUUUAUAUUGCACCUCUUGAGGCAAUUGCUAAGGAACGCUAUCGCGAUUGGGAGAGAAAGUAUGGUCGAGGUCUUGGAAUGCGUGUUGUUGAAUUGACUGGAGAAACUGCAACAGACUUAAAGCUGCUUGAAAAGGGUCAAAUAAUUAUCAGCACUCCGGAAAAAUGGGAUGCUUUGUCUCGUCGCUGGAAACAGAGGAAGUAUGUGCAGCUGGUUAGUCUAUUUAUCAUUGAUGAGCUCCACUUGAUUGGGGGUCAUGGAGGUCCUGUCUUAGAGGUGAUUGUUUCUAGAAUGAGAUAUAUUGCUAGUCAGAUAGAGAAUAAGAUUCGAAUUGUGGCUUUGUCAUCUUCCCUUGCAAAUGCCAAGGAUCUUGGGGAAUGGAUAGGAGCCACCUCCCAUGGCCUUUUUAAUUUCCCCCCUGGUGUGCGUCCUGUCCCCUUAGAAAUACAUAUUCAGGGAGUGGAUAUUGCCAAUUUUGAAGCAAGGAUACAGGCCAUGACGAAACCAACAUACACUGCAAUAGUCCAACAUGCCAAAAAUGGAAAGCCUGCUAUUGUGUUUGUUUCUACGAGAAAGCAUGUGCGACUCACUGCUGUGGAUCUGAUGACAUACUCAAGUGUGGACAGUGGAGAGAAACCUGCUUUUUUGUUGAGGUCCUCGGUAGAGCUGGAGCCCUUUGUUGGCAAGAUUCAGGAUGAAAUGUUGAGAGCUACUUUACUUCAUGGUGUUGGAUACUUGCAUGAGGGCUUGAGUAGCUUGGAUCAAGAAGUUGUGUCACAGCUGUUUGAAGCUGGGUGGAUUCAGGUUUGUGUUAUGAGCAGUUCAAUGUGUUGGGGAGUGCCAUUGUCAGCGCAUUUGGUAGUUGUGAUGGGAACUCAAUAUUAUGAUGGGCGUGAAAAUGCUCACACUGAUUACCCUGUUACAGAUCUCUUGCAGAUGAUGGGUCAUGCCAGUCGACCUCUACUAGAUAACUCUGGAAAGUGUGUCAUCCUCUGCCAUGCACCUCGUAAAGAGUAUUACAAGAAAUUCUUAUAUGAAGCUUUCCCUGUGGAAAGCCAUUUGCACCAUUUCCUGCAUGACAAUUUCAACGCAGAAAUAGUUGCUGGAGUUAUUGAAAAUAAGCAAGAUGCAGUAGAUUAUCUUACUUGGACAUUUAUGUAUAGGCGGCUCACUCAGAAUCCAAAUUACUACAAUCUCCAGGGAGUUAGUCAUAGACAUCUUUCUGAUCACCUUUCAGAGCUUGUUGAGCAAACAUUGAGUGAUUUGGAAGCAGGUAAAUGUGUUGCUAUCGAGGACGACAUGGACCUGUCUCCACUGAAUCUUGGCAUGAUAGCAUCAUACUAUUACAUCAGUUACACUACUAUUGAGCGUUUUAGUUCUUCUUUGACUCCCAAAACAAAGAUGAAGGGUCUUCUGGAAAUUCUGGCUUCAGCUUCAGAGUAUGCCCAUCUUCCCAUACGACCUGGAGAAGAAGAGGUGCUUCGGCGGCUGAUCAAUCACCAGAGGUUCUCAUUUGAGAAUCCCAGAUAUACUGAUCCACAUGUGAAGGCAAAUGUACUGCUACAAGCCCAUUUCUCAAGGCAAUCUGUGGGUGGAAACCUUGCACUGGACCAACGAGAGGUGCUUCUUUCUGCCAGUAGAUUGCUCCAAGCAAUGGUUGAUGUUAUUUCAAGCAAUGGCUGGUUAAGCCUUGCUAUUCUUGCAAUGGAAGUUAGUCAAAUGGUGACACAGGGGAUGUGGGAGCGUGAUUCUAUGCUUCUACAGCUUCCACACUUCACAAAGGAAUUGGCCAAGAAAUGCCAAGAGAAU